UACGUAGGUGGCGAGCGUUGUCCGGAUUUACUGGGCGUAAAGGGAGCGUAGGCGGACUUUUAAGUGAGAUGUGAAAUACCCGGGCUCAACUUGGGUGCUGCAUUUCAAACUGGAAGUCUAGAGUACGGGAGAGGAAAGUGGAAUUCCUAGUGUAGCGGUGAAAUGCGUAGAUAUUAGGAGGAACACCAGUGGCGAAGGCGACUUUCUGGACCGUAACUGACGUUGAGGCACGAAAGUGUGGGGAGCAAACAGGAUUAGAUACCCUGGUAGUCCCUGAGCGGG
This 282-nucleotide ribosomal RNA is filed under the name uncultured prokaryote. Its description in RNAcentral is "partial 16S ribosomal RNA". It matches the Rfam family "Bacterial small subunit ribosomal RNA", at positions 524 to 803 of the family's 1533-position model. The record is from RNAcentral.